CGGCAUAGGACAAGGAUCAGGAAACGGUCAAAACGGCGGACAAGGAUCAGGCGCUGGUCAAGGCAGCGGCACAGGACAAGGAUCAGGAAACGGUCAAAACGGCGGACAAGGAUCAGGCGCUGGUCAAGGCAGCGGCAUAGGACAAGGAUCAGGAAACGGUCAUGGUUGUGCAAAAUUUAGAGAAUAUGGCCAUUACCAAGGUUAUGGACAAGGGUAUAAAGUAGGAUAUGAACAAGGUUUCGAGCAGGGAUAUCAAACAGCCAUCUACGAAUUAGCUCAAAAUUACCAUUGCGAUUAUCAUUACAAUUCCCAACAUAGUUACGCCUACUAGAUUCUACCAAAUUCACCGCUUGCAAGCUGCGAGCCAGUUAUGUUGUAAUAAAAAAUUGUCAUUGCUUUUUCUUUAAAUUUGUUAUCUUGAAAUUUUAAUAAAUGAUUUGUCAUUA
Long non-coding RNA from Melitaea cinxia (Glanville fritillary), 446 nucleotides. RefSeq lists it as uncharacterized. The transcript has 2 exons. Lineage: Eukaryota; Metazoa; Arthropoda; Insecta; Lepidoptera; Nymphalidae. The record is from RefSeq and is a predicted model, not a curated record.